This is a long non-coding RNA of Chelonia mydas (Green sea turtle), 2358 nucleotides long. RefSeq lists it as uncharacterized. The record is from RefSeq and is a predicted model, not a curated record. Lineage: Eukaryota; Metazoa; Chordata; Testudines; Cheloniidae. The transcript has 2 exons.
UAUAUGUAUGUAUGUAUGUAUGUAUGUGUGUUUGUUUUCGGUCACACUUGACCCACACCCCCUGAACCAAAGGGACAUGCACUUCUCGACUGUCUGUACCUGGCCAGUGCGGAAAGCAGCCGACUGAAGGGUAACGUAUUUUCGGACGAAUGCAGGACUAAAGACACCAGAAGAUAUCACACCACAAAAAUACCAGAUGAUCUCAGUAUAUAGUGAAGAAACCCCCAAGCAUCAAAAAAAGAAAAAUGAAGUGCUUUAUAAAUAAAAGACUGGUCAAAUACACCUCUAUCUACCAUAUAUGGACAAUUAAGUUAACAGUCAGCUAAAAACCACUAGCUGAACCAGGAUAAAUUGUCAUUUAAUUUCAACUUGGUUACUCUGUAAAAACAACUGCAUUAUUGCUGUAUAACAUUUACAAUGUGCAUAACCUUGCUCAACUGUUGAACCAACAACAAAUAAAUGGCAGCAAACAACAUAAAGGCAAGGAAAAAACAAAUUAGUAAAGAAAUUAAGUUACACAGCAACUACGCACUGGGUAAACAAAUUCCUUGUGAGUACCAUUCAUAAUCUGGGUUACUAACACUGCAUCCUAACUAAGGCACAUGUAAUUCAAAACAACAUGUUCAAAGUCUGCCCUAUCAAUUUUGUUCGGUGUCUGGGUACCAAUACUAAUCCUGACACAGCAAUAUUUGAGAAAUCGGUUACUGUCCAUUCAGUAGGUUUUGUGAAAAACAACAUCCAUAAAAACAACUGGAUCUAUGGCAACUACUGGUGUACCAUGGGGCAAUGCAAUCCAUGGAACAGAGAAGCUAGCAGUUCCUAUUUCCAGUAAAGUGAAGCUUACUAAAGGGUGACAACCAGCAGUAAGGGUAAUCAAUAACAUAAAUGGACACUACUGGUGUCACUACUCCAAAUUUUUGUUUUACGUCUCAUACGCAUAGCACUGUGGAACACAUUAUCGCAAUCCCUAUCUCAGUAUUUUAAAACACUCAGCCUACUGCUAAUAAUGAUAUAAGUGGUUACUGUAAUUGCCCAAAUAAAAGUGGGUUGCUAUCUGCAGUACCACAAGGGCCAACCUACAACAACAAAUUGGAAAAAAAUGGUUAUGCUUGAAUAUAAAGUGCUGUUAUAUGUAUACAUACAUACUAUACAUAUAUGCCUAUAUACACGACAAAUAUCUGUGCCAUAUCCGUAUUAUUCAUAUAUAUUAAUGAUUUGGAAGUGCCUCUAAGGCUCAAUCAUAAUACUACCUUCCUCAGUCAAGGUCCCGGACCUAACAUUCCCAGGCCGACAUAUUCUUCUGGGAUUGGUAGUCUGGUUUACCAUACUUAUUGCUGGAGCCUUAAUAUUUGCUUGUAUUUGCUAUCUGCCCCCUGUUAUAGCGGGGUAUACACAAGUGAAUGUUAUUGUACCCAAGCCAGACGUUUAGGCCUCGGGGGGACGUGAAUAAAUUGAACAACUGUCUUGUCAAGCUUGAACGAAAUUUAAAAAUUGCAAAUGUUAGGCCUCAAACUUCCGUGUACUUCAAAAUGUGAGCCUUGCAAAAAUAAAGCUUACACUUGUGGCUUGUGCUCAGGACGCGCUGCUACCAGAUAGCAAUUUCUGCUGACUCCUACGUAUUUAUCAACCCCAGAUUACCCACAAUCAAGAUCUAAUUGGCUACGGAGAAUAAAUAGGCCUCAAUUAUAUGAACAACUAACAAUUGGACAUAAAAAUUAAAUACGCAUCAAUUAUACAAUUAGGGCAACCACAUAAACAAUGUGGCUCACCUUGAUUGGUUGGUCUGUUCUAAAACACGGCGGUCAGACCAGAUAAAAAGGACGAAGGCAUGGGACUGUGGGGGGGGGGGGGGGGGUGUGCGCGUUUUCGGUCACACCUGACCCACACCCCCUGAACCGAAGGGACGUGCACUUCUCAACUGUCUGUACCUGGCCAGUGCAGAAAGCGGCCGACUGAAGGGUAACGUAUUUUCGGACGAAUGCAGGGUAAGUCUAUGGAGUAAAGAAGUCUGGUCGCUCGAGUCGAAUUGAUCAUAGCCGUAUCGAUACCAUAGUAUAAAGUCGAUAGUAGGUAGCUGAUGCAUAAUAGCUUUGCAUGUAUUUGUGCUUGUCUUUUAAGCAGUCUGAGCAGAUGCAUGUGGUGCUGUCAUUCAUCAGCUUUAUGUUGCCUUUGAAAUAGUUUGUCACCAGGAAUACAAAGCUGGUGAAUAAGAGCCUUACUUAUGCUUGUCUUCGGGGCUUUUAUUAUGACUUGCCAGGACCAGCAUAUGUAGAGUAAUUCUUAUUCAGUGCUGGUCUUUGGUUUUCCUUUUUCUGUUUUGUUUAUGCUAUUCAAAAAUCAUUAAAAGUCUUUUUUGAG